AUUAUUGACUCAAAUAUUUUGUCAUAAAUUUUUGUUCUGUUUCUCUUAGGCUAAAGAAAGCUUCUGUAGAUAAAAAAUUGUCAGAAGAAUCAUCUGGUGGUGACCCAAUUAAUGUAAUGGCAUUCAUAUGUAGUGGGCAGGUCAAACUGAGAAAAGCUAAAGUAGAAGAAAAGAAACCUUUAGCUCCUGCUGAUCCGAUGGCUAGUAUGAUUGCAUCAAUAAGAAGUGGUAAUGUCGCUUUAAGGAAAGUACAGAAAGAAA
Amphimedon queenslandica is the source of this 261-nucleotide long non-coding RNA. RefSeq lists it as uncharacterized. The record is from RefSeq and is a predicted model, not a curated record. The transcript has 3 exons. NCBI's taxonomy places the organism in Eukaryota, Metazoa, Porifera, Demospongiae, Haplosclerida, Niphatidae.